This 316-nucleotide long non-coding RNA is filed under the name Sorghum bicolor (sorghum). RNAcentral describes it as "long non-coding RNA (SBIC_LNC006318)". The record is from RNAcentral. Lineage: Eukaryota; Viridiplantae; Streptophyta; Magnoliopsida; Poales; Poaceae.
CGGUAAUAAAGAUUGGUAUUAUUCAUAUCUUUCUCUAAUUCUAUUGUUCUAAUUGCAUUAUGUCUCUAAUUAUUAUGUUCUUAGUUUGCUCUAGUUCUAUAUUUGAUAUAGUUCUAAUUGAUAAUGAGUUUAUGUAUAAGUUUGCAAAGCGCUUAGCUCUUGACGCGAGGGAGUUAGGUGAUAGAUCACAUGUGAGCGUGGUGCUUAUAUGUUAUUUAUCUGCAAAUGUAUCCUAUUGGCCGGGUCGUGUGGUAGUUCGCGAUAGUGACAGCUUCGUUGAUUCUUAUAUAGUCCACCCUCCGUUGAUAGGACAGGC